RNAcentral lists this ribosomal RNA (648 nucleotides) under uncultured fungus. Its description in RNAcentral is "eukaryotic LSU rRNA". The stretch from base 218 to 371 matches the Rfam family "5.8S ribosomal RNA". Lineage: Eukaryota; Fungi. The record is from RNAcentral.
UCCGUAGGUGAACCUGCGGAAGGAUCAUUACCUGGCCUUGGGCCGCUCGGGGGAGCCAGUCGCUCGCGACGACGCUGCCUUGGGCGCUUAGCCCUUGACUAUCACCUUGACUACGUGCACCUUUUGUUGUUUCCUCGGCAGGUCCUCUGCCGCCAGGAACCCCCCAAACCCCUUUGCAACAGCAUCCAAACUUCUGAAAACAAACCAAAUCAUUUACAACUUUUAACAAUGGAUCUCUUGGCUCUGGCAUCGAUGAAGAACGCAGCGAAAUGCGAUAAGUAAUGCGAAUUGCAGAAUUCAGUGAAUCAUCGAAUCUUUGAACGCACAUUGCGCCCGCCAGUACUCUGGCGGGCAUGCCUGUCUGAGCGUCAUUUCAACCCUCGCGCCCGGCUUCUUGCCGGGGGCGGUGUUGGGGACCGGCCUCCCGCCCCAGGGCGGCCGUCCCCUAAAUACAGUGGCGACCGCGCCGUAGCCUCCUCCGCGUAGUAGUGAAGCACUCGCGGGCGGAGAGCGGUGCGGCCCGCCGUAAAAGCCCCAACUAUACCAAGGUUGACCUCAGAUCAGGUAGGAAUACCCGGCUGAACUUAAGGCAUAUCAAUAAGGCGGGAGGGGAAGGUCGGACUGGCCAAGGGCACACAGGGGGGGAUA